GGUAGAGGUUCCCCUGCAGCCAGCUGAAUUGAUUACGUGUGUUCCACGAUAGUUACUGAGUCCUUCUCUAGGUCAGGUACUGUUCUAAGGAAGAGAGACUUGACAGUGAGUAAAACAGAAUAUCCCUGCUCUCGCAAAGUCCACAUCUAAUAUGUGGAUAGUCUUAGAAGACGGUAAAUCUAUGGAGAAAAGGGGAAGAAGGACAGCCCUGGCUGCCGCUAUCUUAAAUGGCAGUAUUUUGCAGGGGGGGUGGUCAGGGAAGGCCUCACUGAGAAGAAUGACAUUUGAACCAAGGUUUGGAGAAAGAGAACCAACCCUGUGGACGCCGGGGAAGCAGGUUCUAGGUGGAGGAAAUAGUAGGUGGGAACAUUCUAGAAGCAUUUGAAGAAGGAGGCCGGUAGGGCUGCAGGAGGGAGAGCAAGGGAGGGAACAGGGGGAGGUGAAGACGGAGGAGCAGAGCAGGCCCGCUCAGGCCAGGCCACUCUGGGAGCUUUGCUUGGGUUCCACAUGAGUAGGAAGGAAGGUAGGUGUGUGUGCCAUGAUCUCCAGGACACCAUCUUGGAAUACAGUAGAAGCAGACAGCAACGAAGAGGCUAUUGCAAAAAUUCAAGCAAGACAUGAGCAUGGCUCGGUUCAGGAUGUGGGGGGCAGAGGAGUAAGAAUGGUCAGAUUCUAGUUAUCUUUUGAAGGAAGGACUGACAGGCUUGGCUGAUAGACUGUAAGUGGGCUGUGAGCAGCAGAGGAAAGCCCGUCUUUGGCCUGAGCAACUGGAAGGAGAAUUGCCACGGACUGGAAUGGGGGUGGGCUGCGGGGAGAACAGACGUGGCUGGGUGACAGGAGAGAGAGCUUCGAUUCUGAGCCUGUUAAGGUGAUGCCUUAAGAUGUCCACGCAGAGGUGCCACAGAGGCUACUGGCUGGGGAGUAGAGAUGUGCCUGGGGUGCCUGUCAGUGAUUAGCUGGUAUGACAGCCACAGGCCGGUUGAGAUCACAAAGGAAACCAGUGCAGGUAGGGAGGGGGCGGAGAUCAAGGGCUGAGAACUGGGGCGCUCCAACUUCUAGAUGUCAAGUUAAUGAGAAGGAACCUGCAAAGGAGACUGAAUAACAAGCAGCUAAUGAAGGAGAAGGAGAAAGGAGACAGCAGUGUCCGGGAAGUGCGCCUCGCGUGGAUCACGUCACCCGCGAGAAGCAGCAGUGUGCAGGACUGUGUCCUGGAGCAGAGAGCUGACACUGGCAGCCCCCCAAAGGGGGAAGGGAGAAUUGACAUCCCCAGGGCAAGAGAUGCCGGCUGGGUGGAGCCCCAGGAAAGGCCCUAUUGUCAACCUACUGCUGUUUCUUCUCAGGGUCUCUCCUUGACUCUGAGGCUCAGUCUGACUAUCAUUUUGAAUGAGCUCAUCACUCCUACCUAUGCUUGUGCAAGACAUUCUACUUGAUCCCUUCAUUCCAGCUGUUCCUGACUUCAGUCCAACCACAAAAUCAUCCAAGAACUAUUCUGAAAGAACCAUCUGACAGCUGGGUGCGGUGGCACUGUAAUCUCAGUGUCUCGGGAGGCUGAGGCAGGAGGAUCACGAAUUCAAAGCCAGUCUCAGCAAUUU
Non-coding RNA from Ictidomys tridecemlineatus (thirteen-lined ground squirrel), 1592 nucleotides. The record is from RefSeq and is a predicted model, not a curated record. NCBI's taxonomy places the organism in Eukaryota, Metazoa, Chordata, Mammalia, Rodentia, Sciuridae.